RNAcentral lists this long non-coding RNA (1247 nucleotides) under Vigna radiata. RNAcentral describes it as "long non-coding RNA (VRAD_LNC012960)". The record is from RNAcentral. Lineage: Eukaryota; Viridiplantae; Streptophyta; Magnoliopsida; Fabales; Fabaceae.
GACAUUGCAGCCAUCGCCUUCUCCUCGGCAGCAUCAAAGUUAAAUUCGAUCUUGUGCCUUAGAUCGAAGCCUGGAUCAUCCAUACCCAAAGGUAAGUGCCGCUCGGGAACUAACUCUUCCUGAACGGCCAUCGUCUUUUUGCCCUUAGAAGCACCACUACUUGCUGGUACCUUCCUCUUCCGAGUUAAAGGUUGAACUGGAGAAGGAGGAGCGUCAUCAAUAUGCACUAUGGUGGCCGGUGUGGAGGAUGUCCCACUCGACCGUGCGGUCUGGAGCCCGACCCCUUGGUCCACCGCCUGAGACUCCCUAAACCAAUCACGACCGGUCCUUCUGGCCAUAACUUCUGCAAAAUAGCACCACCCACACAACGUUACAAUUCACAAAAUGCAAGUAAAAGACAGUUGACAAAGAGACCUACCAAACACCCUUGAUUUCAGAUCGUUGUAUCUCAGGCAACUAACCAGCUUCCUGGAGGAGAACGGACGAGGUAACUUGAUCAACCUGUCCAGAUCCCUCCGCUCGACAUCAGACAUAUCCUCUUCUGGCCAAGAGGUUAAGGUACGAGGCUUCUUAGUCCAGUAAAGGGGAAACCUAGAGUUCCCGUCAUCAUUAUAAAAGAACGGCCGACCCAUUUCGGUAAUUGACACUUUAAAAAAGUGGUUUUUAAAGUCUUUGUAUGACUCGGCGAAUAAACUGAAGAUGGCAUUUUUUGCCAUAGACGUCAGAGAUACCCAACCCUUCUUGGCAUUGGGGCGGGUCUUAAAGAAAAAUAAGAAUAUUUUUGCGGUCGGUUCAAUAUCUAAGGAGUGACAUAACACACCGAACGCUUGAAUGUAGCCUCAGCCGUUCGGGUGUAACUGAGAAGGGGCUACAUUCAAGCAUCGGAGGACAUCCAUUUGAAACCUAGUCAAGGGGAGUCUCACAUACAUAUCAUACAGAAAGGGCAUAUACAUAAAAAAGUAAUCUUUUCCAAUCACAUCUUCCCCGUGAAAAACCCUUUCAUCGGCUUUACAAGCCAUUAACUUAAGGGCACGCUGGUACCCAAUAUUCCUAAGCACACAAUUAUCCUCUACCCAACGCAACAGUGUUUCUCGAGACCCAAAUGAACUCACCUGCUCCCCAACCUCCCGGGAAGCCCAUAAAUACUCUCUCGGAGAAGGAGAACAACCCUCUUCAGGGCCAUCAACAUCCACUCCUCCAUGAACGAAAACCUUAUCCCCGCUCAGUAAGGAACUGACACAACCAGU